RNAcentral lists this ribosomal RNA (458 nucleotides) under uncultured bacterium. RNAcentral describes it as "partial 16S ribosomal RNA". It matches the Rfam family "Bacterial small subunit ribosomal RNA", at positions 338 to 795 of the family's 1533-position model. The record is from RNAcentral.
CCUACGGGUGGCAGCAGUGAGGAAUAUUGGUCAAUGGGCGAGAGCCUGAACCAGCCAAGUCGCGUGAGGGAGUACUGCUCUAUGGGUUGUAAACCUCUUUUGUCGGGGAGCAAAAGCCGGACGUGUCCGGCUGUGAGAGUACCCGAAGAAACAGCAUCGGCUAACUCCGUGCCAGCAGCCGCGGUAAUACGGAGGAUGCGAGCGUUAUCCGGAGUUAUUGGGUUUAAAGGGUGCGAAGGGGGAUUUUUAAGUCAGCGGUCAAAUCGUGGGGCUAAACCCCAUCCAGCCGUUGAAACUGGGGAUCUAGAGUGUGCGAGGGGUAGGCGGAAUGCGUGGUGGAGCGGUGAAAUGCAUAGAUAUCACGCAGAACACCGAUUGCGAAGGCAGCAUACCGGUGCACAACUGACGCUGAGGCACGAAAGCGUGGGGAUCGAACAGGAUUAGAUACCCUAGUAGUC